AUGGCGGAGUCGACGGCGAGCAUCGGCGGGUACAUGGCGUCGGGGUACCGGAGGGUGGCCGGCGUGCAGCUCUCCAUCAACCACCUCAAGCCCGCCCGCAUCGGCGACCGCAUCGAGACCAAGGCGAACCCCAUCCAGGUCGGCCGCAACGUCCAGGUAGAGGUCGAGGGACGAGGUGUCUCCAAGCAGAGGCCGGUCUUCUGCAACCUGCAACUACGAUCUUGGACGGCCGGCGCGCGCGGGGUUGCAGCGUGCAGGCACGAUUAUUCAUCCGGUCUCUGUCCACAGUUGAUUGGCACCUACUGGCUAGCUAAGAUGUGUUUCCCCACCUGCCUAUUGCCUGUCGUCUUCAUGAUGUAA
Molecule: ribosomal RNA, 360 nt
Filed under: Triticum aestivum (bread wheat)
Lineage: Eukaryota; Viridiplantae; Streptophyta; Magnoliopsida; Poales; Poaceae
Description: partial small subunit ribosomal RNA
Source: RNAcentral